This 175-nucleotide ribosomal RNA is filed under the name uncultured bacterium. RNAcentral describes it as "partial 16S ribosomal RNA". It matches the Rfam family "Bacterial small subunit ribosomal RNA", at positions 1326 to 1500 of the family's 1533-position model. The record is from RNAcentral.
UUGGAAUCACUAGUAAUCGCGGAUCAGCAUGCCGCGGUGAAUGCGUUCUCGGGCCUUGUACACACCGCCCGUCACACCAUGAGAGUCGGGAACACCCGAAGUCCGUAGCCUAACCGCAAGGGGGGCGCGGCCGAAGGUGGGCUCGAUAAUUGGGGUGAAGUCGUAACAAGGUACC